Branchiostoma belcheri (Belcher's lancelet) is the source of this 3879-nucleotide RNA transcript. It is a transcript of the gene named F-box/WD repeat-containing protein 11-like, with no coding region annotated. The record is from RefSeq and is a predicted model, not a curated record. NCBI's taxonomy places the organism in Eukaryota, Metazoa, Chordata, Leptocardii, Amphioxiformes, Branchiostomatidae. The transcript has 13 exons.
AUGCCAAAAUUUGUCGAUGUAAGGCCUCUCUCUGGUAAGUAAGUCUAGUCUCGAGCAGUGCGAGUUUAUGCGAUAUCUCUGACGUCACAAGUUCUUCCCCUGCCAUUUCUGAGGAGAAACCGCCUGUAGUUCUUGUUCGCCGCCGUUUCCUCCGUUUUGUUCGCAAAUCCGCGACCCUGGAGCCCCCGGAAGACUAUAUCAUGGAAACAGAUACUAUAGGAGAUGAAAAAAUAGAAGAAACGAAGUUACGACAGAUGACCAUCCUAUCCCAGCCAAUCCAGAAGAAGCGAGAGCGGCCAGAGAACUUUGAGGAGGAGCGAGACUUGUGUGUUAAGUAUUUUGAACAAUGGUCAGAACAGGACCAGCUGGACUUUGUGGAACAACUGAUAUCUCGAAUGUGCCACUACCAGCAUGGACAUAUCAAUGCCUUCCUCAAGCCCAUGCUGCAGAGAGACUUCAUUACUGCAUUACCCAAGAAAGGCCUAGACCACGUAGCAGAACAAAUAUUGAGUUACCUGGACGCCAAGUCCUUGUCAGCUUGUGAGCUGGUGUGCAAGGAGUGGUACCGGGUCAUCUCUGAUGGGAUGCUGUGGAAGAAGCUAAUAGAAAGAAUGGUGCUGACUGACCCAUUGUGGAAAGGGCUGGCAGAACGCAGGGGAUGGGGACAACAUCUGUUCAGACCGAAGCCAGGGGAAACGCAACCCAACCAUCAGUUCUACCGCAAACUGUACCCUAGGAUUAUACAAGAUAUUGAGCAAAUAGAGACAAACUGGCGGUGUGGCAGACAUAACCUACAGAAGAUACAGUGCCGAAGUGAGAACAGCAAGGGGGUGUACUGUCUCCAGUAUGAUGACAACAAGAUUGUCAGUGGGCUUAGAGAUAACACUAUUAAGAUCUGGGAUAGAAACAACCUGGAGUGUGUGCAGGUGCUGACUGGACACACAGGGUCGGUGCUGUGCCUGCAGUAUGACGACCAGGUCAUCAUCUCCGGCUCCAGCGACUCAACAGUCAGGGUGUGGAACGUCCACACGGGGGAGAUGGUGAACACUCUGAUCCACCACUGUGAGGCUGUGCUGCAUCUCAGGUUUCAGCACGGCAUGAUGGUCACCUGCUCCAAGGACCGCUCCAUAGCUGUGUGGGACAUGCAAUCCCCAACAGACAUCAACCUGAGAAGAGUGCUGGUGGGCCACCGGGCAGCCGUCAAUGUGGUGGACUUUGAUGACAAGUACAUCGUGUCAGCUUCUGGAGAUAGGACAAUCAAGGUGUGGAGUACAUCGACGUGUGAGUUUGUGAGAACACUGAAUGGCCACAAGAGGGGCAUCGCCUGUCUCCAGUACAGAGACAGACUCGUCGUCAGUGGCUCUUCAGACAACACCAUAAGGUUAUGGGAUAUCGAGUGUGGAGCAUGCUUGCGUAUUUUGGAAGGGCACGAGGAGUUGGUGAGAUGUAUCAGGUUCGACAACAAGCGGAUUGUCAGCGGAGCAUAUGAUGGUAAAACUCAAGGUGUGGGACUUGCAGGCAGCAUUGGACCCCCGAGCACCAGCUGGCACCCUUUGCCUUAGGACUCUUGUGGAGCACUCUGGAAGGGUGUUCAGACUACAGUUUGAUGAGUUCCAGAUUGUCAGUAGUUCCCACGAUGACACCAUACUGAUCUGGGACUUCCUGAACGUUCCCCCGCCGGACCCGCCCGCCCGCUCCCCUGCACGGACCUACACCUAUGUCUCCAACACAUGAUCCCAGGAAGCACAUCUUGUGUCCAGUCUGCUGGUGUGAUUGUCCUGUAGGCCUACUGAGAGAUGCCUGCUUGUGCUAACUAGUUCAACCGUCAUUAGCCCUGUGAAACCAUCUUUGGACAACAUAGAGACGAGUGGAAAGCAAUAGAUUACAUCUUGGGAUGCACUUUGUUAGAACAACACAAAAGCUAUAGUUCUAUUAUGUUAACAAACUUUAAACUUAGUAAGGUUAGAAAGAGCAGUGGUACAUUGUGUACAGUAAAUUUGUUUACUUUCGCGAUGGUUUUAUUUUGCGGUAAGAGGUGAAAGGAACUUUUUGCUGUGUUUUCAAUUCACAGCUUUACCAAUCUGUAAGUAGUCACUAGUAAAUACCAGUUCAUUGGAAGCACAUAUUCAUGGUGUCAUGAGUUUCCGGUGAAGAGGUCAUCGUGAAAAUAAAACAACCGCGAAAGUUUCAAUAUUUACAGUAGCAGAGCUUUUGCUGUAAAACUCUUCAAACUGUGAUUGAAGAAGUGGUAGAUCAGAGAAGUGAGAUUCAAAUGGCAGAACAGCACACCUGAAGCAAGUGGUAAGGAUCUAGGCACAUCAGAAGAAACCAAGUCAAUGAAGCACUUUCAAGCUACAAAGUUCUGUGAAAGAAAUUCAAACAAUGAGGACGUUACUGUGGUAGGGUGGUUUGAAAGAUUUGAGAAAUGGCUCAAUGGCCACUUUGUGUUACAGAGUUCAAAAUUUCUCAGCAAGCAAACUACAGUAGGUGUGCAAGUGGGGAAUUUGUUAGGCCAAUGAACUACAGUCUGAUGCACAAUCUUUUUUUUUUGGACUGAGUCACAGCCAGGAGCAGUGGUGGACAAAAAGUUGUCCUCACAAAUGUAAUUUUCCAACCAAGGGGCAUUUCUUGGGUAGGUCAAAGCUCAUGAUAAGUGUAUUCUCCAAACUCAAGAAGGAAUACUUGAUGCUUAUGUCAAUACGAUUUUUGACAUGCUUUUGGCAUUUGAAAUGUUCCAUGGAACUUGCAAUCUUUCCAUGUUCCAUACUGCUUGUGACUGUUUAUCUCCGAAAUCAUGGCAGGAGGAAGCUGCAAAAUUCUAGCAUUGUUUUAGAUUUAGAGCUUCUCAGAGCCUUUGCUGUUAAAAGUGCACUCAACAAAAAAAAAACAUUUUGAAUUGUAUAUAGAUAGAUCUCUAACAGUGCUAUUAACAAAAGUAGUCAUGAACAUACUUCCAAACCAUAUAGAUUACACUUUUUUUCAUGAUUUUCAACCUAGAAAGGAAUCAAACUUAAGUCUGAUGUUUGAGGUUAGCAUGAGUACUUCACUGGUUCAAAACAGGUCCUUUGGUGCAAGAGGUGGGCCAGUGAUCUACAUGUGUAAAUAUAUCCUACUUAAAGUGCUUGCUUUUCGGAAUAGUGGUACAUCACAAAGCUUUCUAAAACCUUUGAUGCAUCUUUGAAACAAUAACGACCUAUGGGCUGUUCAUAAUGCCUUAAACACACAGCCCACUUCACUGUUACCUCUAGCUGUUCAGGGGUUACAUUGUGCUGCCAAUUUUUUUAGCUGAAGUGGUAGUAAUUUUCCUUGUGAGCCAUUCCAUAACCACUGUGGUUGGUGAAGGAAACACUCAUUUGAUACACAUUGUAUCUUACUGGAUCAUAGUCUUUGUCUUGGCCUCAGUAGAACAGUACAAUUUGUAGCAUUCAGUCUAACAAACUUAAAUCAAGUAUUGCUGUUGCGAUGUAAUAAUUCCUCAGUUGAUUUUUUAUUUAGGGAUUACUUCAGAAGUUCAGAUUUUCUGCAGCGUAGAUGGGGAAAGGUGUUAAGUGUUAGUAGGGAUUCAGAUGGGAAAAGUUCUUGGAUGGGGUAGGGCCUUAGCUUUAGCUUGCAGAAAAUUUUUGGCUUUUGAGUGCAUCUUGUAAAAGUUGUAUUAUUGUUACAGAAAAAAAUGUAAAUGUGUUUAAAAACUAUACAAGCACUGUAGUCAUUCUGUAUGGCCACGGCUAGAAGGUUACAUAAUUUUACAAAAAGAUGUUCUUUGCUUACACAAGUACACAUACAAAACUGUCCUGUUCUAAGUUUCUACUCUAUAUACGUGAAAAGCUGUAAAUUGAUUGUUUUAUGUUCUAAAUGAUUAUUAAAGGUCUGCAAGUGUCA